UAGGGAAUUUUCGGCAAUGGAGGAAACUCUGACCGAGCAAUGCCGCGUGAACGAUGAAGGUCUUCGGACUGUAAAGUUCUGUUGUUAGGGAAGAAUAAUACAUCUAGGAAAUGAGAUGUAGAUGACGGUACCUAACCAGAAAGCCACGGCUAACUAUGUGCCAGCAGCCGCGGUAAUACAUAGGUGGCAAGCGUUAUCCGGAAUUAUUGGGCGUAAAGCGUGCGUAGGCGGUUUAUUAAGUCUGGUGUGAAAUAUUACAGCUUAACUGUAAAGGGUCAUUGGAAACUGGUAAACUUGAGUACGGUAGGGGCAAGUGGAAUUCCAAGUGGAGCGGUGGAAUGCGUAGAUAUUUGGAGGAACACCAGUAGCGAAGGCGGCUUGCUGGGCCGGAACUGACGCUGAGGCACGAAAGCGUGGGGAGCAAACAGG
Molecule: ribosomal RNA, 429 nt
Filed under: uncultured bacterium
Lineage: Bacteria
Description: bacterial SSU rRNA
Rfam family: Bacterial small subunit ribosomal RNA
Source: RNAcentral